AUUGAACGCUGGCGGCAUGCCUUACACAUGCAAGUCGAACGGCAGCACGGGUGCUUGCACCUGGUGGCGAGUGGCGAACGGGUGAGUAAUACAUCGGAACGUACCUUAUCGUGGGGGAUAACGCAGCGAAAGCUGUGCUAAUACCGCAUACGCCCUGAGGGGGAAAGCGGGGGAUCGAAAGACCUCGCGCGAUUAGAGCGGCCGAUGCCUGAUUAGCUUGUUGGUGGGGUAAAAGCCCAUCAAGGCGACGAUCAGUAGCUGGUCUGAGAGGACGAUCAGCGACACUGGGACUGAGACACGGCCCAGACGCGUACGGGAGGCAGCAGUGGGGAAUUUUGGACAAUGGGGGCAACCCUGAUCCAGCAAUGCCGCGUGAGUGAAGAAGGCCUUCGGGUUAUAAAGCUCUUUUGUCAGGGAAGAAACACCGGCUCUAACACAGUCCGGGAAUGACGGGACCUGAAGAAUAAGCACCGGCUAACUACGUGCCAGCAGCCGCGGUAA
This 501-nucleotide ribosomal RNA is filed under the name uncultured bacterium. Its description in RNAcentral is "partial 16S ribosomal RNA". It matches the Rfam family "Bacterial small subunit ribosomal RNA", at positions 29 to 523 of the family's 1533-position model. The record is from RNAcentral.